AUGAACGCUAGCGGGAGGCCUAACACAUGCAAGCCGAGCGGUAUAAUUCUUUCGGGAAUUAGAGAGCGGCGCACGGGUGCGGAACACGUGUGCAACCUGCCUUUAUCUGGGGGAUAGCCUUCCGAAAGGGAGAUUAAUACCCCAUAAUAUAUUGACUGGCAUCAGUUAAUAUUGAAAACUCCGGUGGAUAGAGAUGGGCACGCGCAAGAUUAGAUAGUUGGUGAGGUAACGGCUCACCAAGUCAGUGAUCUUUAGGGGGCCUGAGAGGGUGAUCCCCCACACUGGUACUGAGACACGGACCAGACUCCUACGGGAGGCAGCAGUGAGGAAUAUUGGACAAUGGGUGAGAGCCUGAUCCAGCCAUCCCGCGUGAAGGACGACGGCCCUAUGGGUUGUAAACUUCUUUUGUACAGGGAUAAACCUAGAUACGUGUAUCUAGCUGAAGGUACUGUACGAAUAAGCACCGGCUAACUCCGUGCCAGCCGCCGCGGUAA
RNAcentral lists this ribosomal RNA (494 nucleotides) under uncultured bacterium. Its description in RNAcentral is "partial 16S ribosomal RNA". It matches the Rfam family "Bacterial small subunit ribosomal RNA", at positions 29 to 523 of the family's 1533-position model. The record is from RNAcentral.